This 497-nucleotide ribosomal RNA is filed under the name uncultured bacterium. Its description in RNAcentral is "partial 16S ribosomal RNA". It matches the Rfam family "Bacterial small subunit ribosomal RNA", at positions 28 to 507 of the family's 1533-position model. The record is from RNAcentral.
GAUGAACGCUGGCCGCGUGCCUAAUACAUGCAAGUCGAGCGAACAGACGAGGAGCUUUCUCCUCUGACAUUAGCGCCGGACGGGUGAGUACCACGUGGAUAACCUACCUAUAAGACUGGGAUAACUUCGGGAAACCGUAGCUAAUACCGGAUACUAUAUUGAACCGCAUGGUUCAAUAGUGAAAGACGGUUUUGCUUUCACUUAUAGAUGGAUCCGCGCCGCAUUAGCUAGUUGGUAAGGUAACGGCUUACCAAGGCAACGAUGCGUAGCCGACCUGAGAGGGUGAUCGGCCACACUGGAACUGAGACACGGUCCAGACUCCUACGGGAGGCAGCAGUAGGGAAGCUUCCGCAAUGGGCGAAAGCCUGACGGAGCAACGCCGCGUGAGUGAUGAAGGUCUUCGGAUCGUAAAACUCUGUUAUUAGGGAAGAACAAAUGUGUAAGUAACUAUGCACGUCUUGACGGUACCUAAUCAGAAAGCCACGGCUAACUACGUG